AAAACUUUCAACAAUGGAUCUCUUGGCUCUGGCAUCGAUGAAGAACGCAGCGAAAUGCGAUAAGUAGUGUGAAUUGCAGAAUUCAGCGAAUCAUCGAAUCUUUGAACGCACAUUGCGCCCUUCGGGUUAUUCCUUAGGGCAUGCCUGUUCGAGCGUCAUUU
Molecule: ribosomal RNA, 161 nt
Filed under: Torula masonii
Lineage: Eukaryota; Fungi; Ascomycota; Dothideomycetes; Pleosporales; Torulaceae
Description: 5.8S ribosomal RNA
Rfam family: 5.8S ribosomal RNA
About the family: 5.8S ribosomal RNA (5.8S rRNA) is a component of the large subunit of the eukaryotic ribosome. It is transcribed by RNA polymerase I as part of the 45S precursor that also contains 18S and 28S rRNA.
Source: RNAcentral